Molecule: ribosomal RNA, 489 nt
Filed under: uncultured bacterium
Lineage: Bacteria
Description: bacterial SSU rRNA
Rfam family: Bacterial small subunit ribosomal RNA
Source: RNAcentral
GAUGAACGCUAGCGGAAGGCUUAAUACAUGCAAGUCGAGCGGUAGGUGGCUUCGGCCAUUGAGAGCGGCGCACGGGUGAGUAACGCGUACAUGACCUGCCUGUCAGAAGGGGAUAGCCCUGGGAAACUGGGAUUAAUACCCUAUGGUAUUGAUAUUAUGAAUGAUAUCAAAUUAAAGUUGAGGCGCUGACAGAUGGAUGUGCGUCUGAUUAGCUAGUUGGUAGGGUAACGGCCUACCAAGGCGACGAUCAGUAGGGGGCGUGAGAGCGUGGUCCCCCACACGGGUACUGAGACACGGACCCGACUCCUACGGGAGGCAGCAGUAAGGAAUAUUGGUCAAUGCCCGCAAGGGUGAACCAGCCAUUCCGCGUGGAGGAUGAAGGCCCUAUGGGUUGUAAACUUCUUUAGAUGGGAAGAAAUGCUAGAUGUAUCUGGUACUGACGGUACCAUCAGAAUAAGCACCGGCUAACUCCGUGCCAGCAGCCGCGGU